Neofelis nebulosa (Clouded leopard) is the source of this 6555-nucleotide long non-coding RNA. RefSeq lists it as uncharacterized. The transcript is spliced from 2 exons. Lineage: Eukaryota; Metazoa; Chordata; Mammalia; Carnivora; Felidae. The record is from RefSeq and is a predicted model, not a curated record.
UCCAAGAUGCCAAAGUGAUGGUAGCUAGCACCUUCAGAGUGUUUGCCCUCACGGACGAGGUGCUAAGCAAUUGACACACUCCUCCACUUGCCUCACAACCACCUUUGAGGUAGGCAGCAUUCAUAUACCCAUUUUACGGAUAAGAAAACCGAACCUGGGAGAGUGUGCCCGGGACCGUGAUAAGAGGCAAAGCAAGGUCUGGAUUCAUGCCUGCUAACUCUUACCCUGUACUCUUAACCACUGAUGGAAAGCCCAUAGCUACCAUCACAAUCCCAUGAAAUUAGCAUUAUUAUGACCAUUUUAUGAAGCAGGCUUACAGAGGGUUGUGUGGCUUGCUGAGGCCAUGCGGAUGAUGAACGGAGAGGCUGGGAUUUACCUCUCUGUUCCGAAAGUCCGUGCCCUCUCUGUCGCACUCAGCUGUUUGUUGUACACUGUGGAGCUCAUCAGGCCACCUGGGCCCUGCCUUUUAUCAGCUAAGGAGCUCCGAGCCACAUGUUCUUGCCCCUGGAGCCUGGCAGCAAUUGGAUACGCGGAGUAGAGGCUCUCAUCCUCCAAUGUCCAGACUGCACCUUGGCCAUUUUCACCAAGGCCCUAGUCACUCGGGAGUGAGCACAUCUGAGAAAAAGAUGGGGUCUGAGGGCCCAGGGGGCCCCUCUGGCCUGUUAUUUGGGGAGAAGAAAAAACAGAACUCUCAUAGAUUUACAAGGCUGGCAACAUGGCUGAGGGGAUAACCUAAAAGCUGUAGACUAUUAUUACCUAAAAAUGUUCGAUAUUUUGCAUGAUAUCUAUGAUCCCAGGCAAGUAAAAAUUACAACUGAUACAAGGUUAGGAAGUAGUGAUAUACAAGGGAGGCUGUCACUCCUGGCGGAACCUAGGGUGCUUGGGUUUUAGUGCUCUGACAGGAAGUGCCCACACUUGGACAGGAAGUGUCUACAAUGGGGCCUGCACAGAAAACAGAGUCAUAUACCCACUUUAUGGAUGAGAAAACUGAACCUGGGAGAGUGUGCCCGGGACCAUGUGGCCCGAGGCCCCCAGCAGAGCCCGGAUCCUCAAAGAGCUACAACACAUGCAAAGGACAGAUCAGAAAAUCAGUCCACCUGCCUGGGGCAAAGCCAAGGAAACAUAUCCAUCUUGGCCUGACUCCCAAGUAGAAACCUAAAAGAUUCUUGAGAAUUAGUAACCGCAAGCCCACUCUCACAAUGUUUGGGAUUUAAAUUUUAUACUACUUACAUGAUCCAGAAAGCUUCAAGCUGAGAAAGUCAAUUAAAAGAUUAAUCCUCAGACAGUGAUCACCACAUAGAAGCAAAUGAAAAACCAUUCUGACGGGACCUACCCCACAGCUGAGGCUUAACAGGAUUCCCUACAGAAAGCAUUGCUGAAUCUGAUUUCACAAUCUGAUCCAAAGCUAAAAGACACAGCAGCAAACAAUCCAGCACAAGCAAGAGAAGUAACAAAUGGCAAGAUUACAUCCCAGGAACUUCAGACACAAAAAGGACCUGGUAGAAGUUAGAAAAUAAGUUUAUUUAAAAGAGUGAAAGCAAGGGGCACCUGGGUGGUUCAGUUGGUUAAGUGUCUGACUUUGGCUGAGGUCAUGAUCUCACAGUCCAUGAGCUUGAGCCCCACAUUGGGCUCUGCGUUGACAGUUCGGAGCCUAGAGCCUGCUUUGGAUUCUGUGUCUCCCUGUCUCUCCACUCUCCCCCACUCACGUUCUGCACUCUCUCUCUUUCUCUCUCAAAAAUAAAUAAACAUUUAAAAAAACAUUUUUUUAAAAAGAGUGAAAGCAAUUAAAAGAGGAACCAAAAGCCUAAGAACAGAAUAAGUUGCGAAGAAAAAAGAACAGGCAGAUUUUAAAUAGGAAGCUUAAAAUCUGGAAAUGAAAAAUAAAGUCAAUAAAUUUUAAAACUUGAUGGAUUGGUUCACCAGAACAAUAGAUAACAGACACACUGGAAACAAAUGUAAGGAAGUUAUAGAGAAUGAAGCACAGAGAUAUAAAAGGCUGGAAUAUCAGACUGAAACAUGAAGAAAGAAAAUGAGAAUAUCUCUUAGAAUAGAACAGAGAAGGGGGAGAGGAGCCAAGAUAGCGGAACAGCAUGGAAGUUUUUUGUGUGCCUCGCGUCCCUGAGACACAGCCAGACCAACACUAACCCAUCCUGCACACCUAGAAAACUGAUCUGAGGAUUAACACAACAGUUUGCACAACCUGAACCACAGAAUUCAGCAGGUACCCGGCGCGGAGAGGUGAACUGGGGGAGACAGAAGCCAUAGAGGGCAGGGAGCUGCUUUUGCAUGCGGAGAGAGGACAGAGGCCGCAGUCUCUGGGUGCAGUCUCUGGGUGUCAGCAGCAGCACAGUCCCGCAAAUGUUCCCGGGUGCGGCCGGCACCUGGCCAUUGCUCAGUGAGACCCUCUGCAGAACGGGCCAAAGCCGCAGUCCCUCAGAAGUAAGGAGUCGGGAAACACAGCCGCGUCUGAGACAAAACUCGGGAGGGAGGUGCUGCCUGGGGCUUGGUCAUGAACCGUGUAAAAGCGGGAAGUAGAUGGAAUCCAAAGACAAAGGACGGGUGCGCGAUUGCUGAUCGGGGAGAACAGAAUUCAGAUACUACAGACCGGGGGCUGGGUGACGCCAUUUAACCGCUCCCGCGCAUGCGCAUACGCACCUACGAGCGCCACAACGAUCUGCCCCAGUAAGCUAAGCAGCGCCAUCUAGUGGAGAGCGGAGCCAUUACGCUAAGCCCUGCCCAAGUGGGCCAACCUCGAGCUUCAGGAACACAAAUCUCUCCGCCAGCUUAGUUUAUGGACUAUAAAGGGCUUAAUAGUUUGACUUCUAAGGGAAAAUGAAGUAAUUUCAGUCGUAUUUUUGUUCCACUGGCUGUUUGCCUGUCCAUCUAUUCAGUUUUCUUUUUUUUUUUCUUUUUCGUUUCUUUUCUUUUUCUUGAAUACAGAAAGAGAAAAAAAUUCAUCUUUAUUUUCAAUUUUUAUUAAAAAUAUUUUUCAAUUUUUUUCUACUAUAUUUUUUACUUUUUUUGGUGUGCCCCAAAGAUAAUUUUAUUAAGGCAUGGGGACAGGACCCAUGGGCAGGAAGAGCUGCCUAUAUUUUUUACUUUUGUGUAAAUUUUUUCAAAUUCUAUUUUACUUCCAUCAAUUUCAUUUUAGUCUACUUCAGUGUAUUAAUUUUUUCAAAUUUUCAAAUGAUUUCCUUUUUUUUUUCUUUCCCCUUUUUUCUCUAAUCUGUCAAGCCCCUUUCAACACCCAAACCAAAACACACCUAGGAUCUAGAUCUAGCAUCAUUUACUCGAUUUUGUGUGUGUGUUUUUAAUUUUUUUAAUUUUAAUUUUUUUACCUCAUUAAUUCCUUUUCUCCCUUCAAAAUGAUGAAAUGAAGGAAUUCACCCCAAAAGAAAGAGCAGGAAGAAACAAUAGCCAGGGAAUUAACCAACACAGAUACAAGCAAGAUGUCUGAACCAGAAUUUAGAAUCAGGAUAAUAAGAAUACUAGCGGGAGUCGAAAAUAGAUUAGAAUCCCUUUCUGCUGAGAUAAAAGAAGUAAAAGCUAGUCAGGAUGAAACAAAAAAUGUUAUAACUGAGCUGCAGUUGUGAAUGGAGGCCACGGCAGCAAGAAUGGAUGAGGCAGAACAGAGAAUCAGCAAUAUAGAGGACAAACUUAUGGAGAAUAAUGAAGCAGAAAAAAGGAGGGAGAUUAAGGCAAAAGAGCACGAUUUAAGAAUUAGAGAAAUCAGUGACUCAUUAAAAAGGAACAUCAUCAAAAUCAUAGAGGUCCCAGAAGAGGAAGAGAGAGAAAUAGAGGUAGAAGGAUUAUGUGAGCAAAUCAUAGAGAAAAACUUUCCUAACCUGGGGAAAGACACAAACAUUAAAAUUCAGGAAGCACAUAGGACUCCCAUUAGAUUCAACAAAAACCAACCAUCAACAAGACAUAUCAUAGUCAAAUUCACAAACUAUUCAGGCAAGGAGAGAAUCAUGAAAGCAGCAAGGGAAAAAAAAGUCCUUAACCUACAAGGGAAGACAGAUCAGGUUUGCAGCAGACCUAUCCACAGAAACUUGGCAGGCCAGAAAGGAGUAGCAGGAUAUAUUCCAUGUGCUGAAUCAGAAAAAUAUGCAGCCAAGAAUUCUUUAUCCAGCAAGGCCGUCAUUCAAAAUAGAAGAAGAGGUAAAAUGUUUCCCAGACAAACAAAAAUUAAAGGAGUUUGUGAUCACUAAACCAGCCCUGCAAGAAAUUUAAAAAAUUUUUUUAACAUUUAUUCAUUUUUGAAAGGCAGAGAGAGACAGAGUGUGAAUGGGGGAGGGGCAGAGAGAGAGGGAGACACAGAUUUCUAAGCAGGCUCCAGGCUCCAAGCUGUCAGCACGGAGCCCAAUGUGGGGGCUUCAACUCAUGGACUGCAAGAUCAUGACCUGAGUCAAAGUCAGCCGCCUAACUGGCUGAGCCACCCAGGUGCCACCCAGGUGCCCCCAUCUACAAGCAAUUUUAAGGGGAACUCUCUGAGGGGAGAAAAGAUGAAAAAAAAUAAUAAUAAUAAAGACCAAAAGCAACAAAGACUAGAAAGGACCAGCGAACACCACCAGAAACUCCAACUCUACAAGCAACAUAAUGGCAAUAAAUUCAUUCAUAUCUUUCAGUACUCACUCUAAACAUCAAUGAGUCCAUGCUCCAAUCAAAAGACCUAGGGUAACAGAAUGGAUAAGAAAACAAGAUCUAUCUAUAUGCUGUUUGUAAGAGACUCACUUUAGACCUAAUGACACCUUCAGAUUGAAAGUAAGGGGAUGGAGAACCAUCUAUCAUGCUAACGGUCAACAAAAGAAACCAGAGUAGCCAUACUUACAUCGGGCAAUCUAGACUUUAAAAUAAGGACUGUAUCAAGAGAUGAAGAAGGGCAUUAUAUAAUUAUGAUAAUUAACUAUAAUUCAUAUUAUUGUUAAUUAUCAUAAUUAAGAAUUAUGAUAAUUAUAUCAUAAUUAAAGGGUCUAUCCACCAAGAAGACCUAACAAUUGUUAACAUUUAUGCGCCAAAUGUGGAAACACCCAAAUAUAUAAAUCAAUUAAUCACAAACAUAAAGAAACUCAUUGGUAGUAAUACCAUAAUAGUAGGGGACUUCAAUACCCCACUCACAGCAGUAGACAGAUCAUCUAAUCAAAAAAAAUCAACAAAGAAACAAUGGCUUUGAAUGACACACUGGACCAGAUGGAUUUAACAGAUAUAUUCAGAACAUUUCAUCCUAAAGCAGCAGAAUAUACAUUCUUCUCCAGUGCACAUGGAGCAUUCUCCAGAACAGACCACAUACUGGGUCUCAACAGCCCUCAACAAGUACAGAAAGACUGAGAUCAUACCAUGCAUAUUUUCAGACCACAAUGCUAUGAAACUCGAAAUCAACCACAAGAAAAAAUUUGGAAAGGUAAGAAACACUUGGAGACUAAAGAACAUCCUACUAAACAAUGAAUGAGCUAACUGAGAAGUUAAAGAGGAAAUUAAAAAGUUCAUGAAACCAAUGAAAAUGAUAACACCACAAACCAAAACCUCUGGGAUGCAGCAAAGGCAGUCAUAAGAGGAAAGUUUAUAGCAAUCCAGGCCUUCCUAAAGAAGGAAGAAAGAUCUCAGAUAUACAACCUAACCUUACACCUUAAAGAGCUGGAAAAAGAACAGCAAAUAAAACCCCAAAACAGCAGAAGGCAAGAAAUAAUAAAGAUGAGAGCAGAAAUUAAUGCUAUCGAAACCAAAAAAACAGUAGAACAGAUCAAUGAAACCAGAAGCUGGUUCUUUGAAAGAAUUAACAAAAUUGAUAAACCAUUAGCCAAUUUGAUCAAAAAGAAAAAAGAAAGGACCCAAAUAAAUAAAAUCAAGAAUGAGAGAGGAGAUUGGGGCGCCUGGGUGUCUCAGUUGGUUGAGCGUCCGACUUUGGCUCAGGUCAUGAUCUUGCGGUCCAUCCGUGAGUUCAAGCCCCGCAUUGGGCUCUGUGCUGACAGUUUGGAGCCUGGAGUCUGCUGCACAUUCUGUGUCUCCCUCGCUCCCUGCCCCUCCCCCACUCAUGCUCUGUCUCUCUCUCUCAAAAAUGAAUAAACAUUAAAAGAAAAAAAAGAGUGAAAGAGGAGAGAUUGCAACCAACACAGCAGAAAUAAAAAUAAUAAGAGAAUAUUAUGAGCAAUUAUAUGCCAAUAAAAUGGGCAAUAUGGAAGAAAUGGACAAACUCCUAGAAACAUAUACACUACCAAAACUGAAACAGGAAGAAAUAGAAAAUUUGAACAGACCCAUAACCAGUAAGGAAAUUGAAUUAGUAAUCAAAAAUCUCCCAAAAAAGAAGAGUCCAGGGCCAGAUGACUUUCCAGGGGAAUUCUACCAAACAUCUAAGGAAGAGUUAACACCCAUUCUCUUGAAGCUGUUCCAAAAAAUAGAAAUGGAAGGAAAACUUCCAAACUCUUUCUAUGAAGCCAGCAUUACCUUGAUUCCAAAACCAGAGACCCCGCUAAAAGGGUGAACUAUAGACCAAUUUCUCUGAUGAACAUGGAUGCAAAAAUCCUCAACAAGAUAUUCGCCAACCAGAUCCACCAAUAC